This is a long non-coding RNA of Archocentrus centrarchus (flier cichlid), 407 nucleotides long. RefSeq lists it as uncharacterized. The record is from RefSeq and is a predicted model, not a curated record. NCBI's taxonomy places the organism in Eukaryota, Metazoa, Chordata, Actinopteri, Cichliformes, Cichlidae. The transcript is spliced from 3 exons.
GUUCAGGUGUGUCCUGAAGCAGCAGGUGUGAUGGAGACUCUCCAUCAGAGGAUGGAGAUGAGAAGGUGAGCUGAGGACCACCUGUUGUUUUCAAGUGUGCAGGCAGAUGGUGGGAGGAGGACUUGGACUUGUGAUCUCAGUUCCAGAGCUGGUUGACAACUGCAAAAACCUGGAUGUAUGUGAGACAGAAGCCAGUAGGAGCCUGAGAGAGAACGCCAGAGCCAUCGGGGAUGAGUCUGAGGAGAUGAAGAAAGACCUUCAGCAAAUCGAAAAUGUUUUCCGGAGAUUAAUGAGAGUUAAACGUGCCAUUGGAAAGAGGGGGAGUCAGAGGAGCAGGAAGAGAGGAAAAUUUGUGAUGGAGAACCUCAAACAUGAGGUCACCCUGCAGUGGCUGAAAGAAAACCCUG